RNAcentral lists this ribosomal RNA (345 nucleotides) under uncultured bacterium. RNAcentral's name for it is "bacterial SSU rRNA". It matches the Rfam family "Bacterial small subunit ribosomal RNA", at positions 18 to 344 of the family's 1533-position model. The record is from RNAcentral.
CAUGGCUCAGGAUGAACGCUGGCGGCGUGCUUAACACAUGCAAGUCGAACGGAGUUUAUGUAGAAUGAGUCUUCGGACAAAUGAAAUAUAAACUUAGUGGCGGACGGGUGAGUAACGUGUGGGUAACCUACCCUAUACAGGAGGAUAACAGUAAGAAAUUAUUGCUAAAACUGCAUAAGAUUACGAGUUCGCAUGAACAAGUGAUAAAAACUUUAGUGGUAUAGGAUGGGCCCGCAUCUGAUUAGGUAGUUGGUGGAGUAAAAGCCUACCAAGCCGACGAUCAGUAGCCGAUCUGAGAGGAUGACCGGCCACAUUGGGACUGAGACACGGCCCAAACUCCUACGG